This 483-nucleotide long non-coding RNA is filed under the name Carica papaya (papaya). Its description in RNAcentral is "long non-coding RNA (CPAP_LNC015462)". Lineage: Eukaryota; Viridiplantae; Streptophyta; Magnoliopsida; Brassicales; Caricaceae. The record is from RNAcentral.
UAAUCUAUCUCAUUUUCUCGUGCAGUUCCCUCAAGGAGUCUCCAUGUUGUGCAAGGUGCCAUCUAUCAUGCGGAUGUGCAGCAAUGUGUGGUUCAAAAAUGUACCAGUGAUGUUAGGUGAACCUAAGGUAUUGGUUCGUGUCACAAUUUGCUAAUGUUAUCUCCUCUUGGUAGUUGUUAAUCCUAGGCUUAGUCAUCACUAGAAUCACCGUUUUCAUUACCCAAUUCGAUGGUGAUGAGAUGGACCUACAUAUCGCCUUCCCUUAGGCACUUUUUGAUCUUCAAUCUUUGGGUGACAUGGGCCUCCUGGAAUUGAAAGACGGCCUCCUCUGCUUUACCCCACCUGGACCUCUUAUGCCAUGUGACAAAAGAAUCUAUAGCAGGCAGCACGAGCACCAAGUGCAAGCUGCCCUAGCUCCUCCACCGCCCAACUUGGACAGUAGGAGAUGAGGUUUGGGGUAUGGAAAUUUAAUUUGGUUAGCUU